GUAGGUGGCAAGCGUUGUCCGGAAUUAUUGGGCGUAAAGCGCGCGCAGGAGGUUCUUUAAGUCUGAUGUGAAAGCCCACGGCUCAACCGUGGAGGGUCAUUGGAAACUGGAGAACUUGAGUACAGAAGAGGAAAGCGGAAUUCCACGUGUAGCGGUGAAAUGCGUAGAGAUGUGGAGGAACACCAGUGGCGAAGGCGGCUUUCUGGUCUGUAACUGACGCUGAGGCGCGAAAGCGUGGGGAGCAAACAGGAUUAGAUACCCUGGUAGUCCACGCCGUAAACGAUGAGUGCUAAGUGUUAGGGGGGUUUCCGCCCCCCUUAGUGCUGCAGCUAACGCAUUAAGCACUCCGCCCUGGGAGUACGGCCGCAAGGCUG
This 374-nucleotide ribosomal RNA is filed under the name uncultured organism. RNAcentral's name for it is "partial 16S ribosomal RNA". It matches the Rfam family "Bacterial small subunit ribosomal RNA", at positions 527 to 896 of the family's 1533-position model. The record is from RNAcentral.